UGGGGAAUCUUGGACAAUGGGGGCAACCCUGAUCCAGCGAUGCCGCGUGGGUGAAGAAGGCCUUCGGGUUGUAAAGCCCUUUAGGCUGGGACGAAGGGUGUGGGACGAAUAAUCCUGCACUUUGACGGUACCAGCAGAAUAAGCACCGGCAAACUCUGUGCCAGCAGCCGCGGUAAUACAGAGGGUGCGAGCGUUAAUCGGAUUUACUGGGCGUAAAGGGCGCGUAGGCGGUGAUGUGAGUGUGAUGUGAAUGCCCCGGGCUUAACCUGGGAAGUGCAUCGCAAACGACAUGACUGGAGUAGAUGAGAGGGUGGCGGAAUUUCCGGUGUAGCGGUGAAAUGCGUAGAGAUCGGAAGGAACGUCAAUGGCGAAGGCAGCCACCUGGCAUCAUACUGACGCUGAGGCGCGAAAGCGUGGGGAGCGAA
Molecule: ribosomal RNA, 425 nt
Filed under: uncultured bacterium
Lineage: Bacteria
Description: bacterial SSU rRNA
Rfam family: Bacterial small subunit ribosomal RNA
Source: RNAcentral